CCUACGGGAGGCAGCAGUGUGGAAUAUUGGGCAAUGGGCGCAAGCCUGACCCAGCAACGCCGCGUGAAGGAAGAAGGCUUUCGGGUUGUAAACUUCUUUUCUCAGGGACGAAGCAAGUGACGGUACCUGAGGAAUAAGCCACGGCUAACUACGUGCCAGCAGCCGCGGUAAUACGUAGGUGGCAAGCGUUAUCCGGAUUUACUGGGUGUAAAGGGCGUGUAGGCGGGGGUGCAAGUCAGAUGUGAAAACUAUGGGCUCAACCCAUAGCCUGCAUUUGAAACUGUGCUUCUUGAGUGCUGGAGAGGCAAACGGAAUUCCGAGUGUAGCGGUGAAAUGCGUAGAUAUAAGGAGGAACACCAGUGGCGAAGGCGGAUUGCUGGACAGUAACUGACGCUGAGGCGCGAAAGCGUGGGGAGCAAACAGGAUUAGAUACCCUUGUAGUC
Molecule: ribosomal RNA, 443 nt
Filed under: uncultured bacterium
Lineage: Bacteria
Description: partial 16S ribosomal RNA
Rfam family: Bacterial small subunit ribosomal RNA
Source: RNAcentral